UGCAGGCGGCUCCUUACCAUGUGCAAACAUCGUUACCAUGCAAACCAUUAGCGAAUUAAAGCUCUGCAGUGUGGUAAACAACAUUGUGUCAGAAGGUUGGCUUUCUCUCCCACUCCCUAGCACUUCCCACCUCAGACAACCACCCAGGAUGUAUUGCUUCAUUGCCAUAACGUGGUCUGUUCAUGGAUUCUUCUCUCUUCUCGCCAGGCCAUCAGCUACCAUGUGAGCAUCAGUUUGGGUUGCUGUUAAGACAAGAUCCAAGAUGAAGCUUUUCCUGCUUGUAUCCAGUUAGUUUCAGAGUGGGGCUCUGAGUCCUGGGAUGAAAAUUUCCAGUGUACUCUGG
RNAcentral lists this long non-coding RNA (343 nucleotides) under Gallus gallus (chicken). Lineage: Eukaryota; Metazoa; Chordata; Aves; Galliformes; Phasianidae. The record is from RNAcentral.